RNAcentral lists this ribosomal RNA (408 nucleotides) under uncultured bacterium. Its description in RNAcentral is "partial 16S ribosomal RNA". It matches the Rfam family "Bacterial small subunit ribosomal RNA", at positions 28 to 526 of the family's 1533-position model. The record is from RNAcentral.
GACGAACGCUGGCGGCGUGCUUAACACAUGCAAGUCGAACGAAGUGGCGAACGGGUGAGUAACGCGUAAUCAACCUGCCCUUCAGAGGGGGACAACAGUUGGAAACGACUGCUAAUACCGCAUACUGAAGGAGGGGAUGGCGUCUGAUUAGCUAGGUGGGGGGGUAACGGCCCACCAAGGCGAAGAUCAGGAGCCGGUCUGAGAAGAUGAACGGCCACAUUGGGACUGAGACAAGGCCCAGCAUCCUACGGGAGGCAGCAAUGGGGAAUCUUCCGACAUGGACGGAAGUCUGACGGAGCACCGCCGCGUGAGUGAUGACGGCCUUCGGGUUGUAAAGCUCUGUUAAUCGGGACGCGGUACCGGAAUAGAAAGCCACGGCUAACUACGUGCCAGCAGCCGCGGUAAUAC